RNAcentral lists this long non-coding RNA (973 nucleotides) under Equus caballus (horse). RNAcentral's name for it is "lncRNA (ENSECAG00000029384.3)". The record is from RNAcentral. Lineage: Eukaryota; Metazoa; Chordata; Mammalia; Perissodactyla; Equidae.
GAAUGAAAUAGGCAACAGGAAAGACUUCUCUGAAAUUGGUGCCAGAGUCUUCCCCAGUGCCAUUGGAUGAAUAAUUUCAGGCUAGUUAAGGAAGAAGUCAAGAUGGAGAGAACUCUGCUGUGUUGCCUCCUUUCAUUCUCUGCUUUAUGCUGAAAGAAUUUGAGCAUCCUUCAAAUAUGAGAUUAAAGGAUGAAAAACACAAACUAAAGCUGGAUGGUAAGAGGCAUUCCUGGGAAGUUUUGUUCUUUCUACCCGAAGAAGCUCCACAACCUGCAGUAAGAUGGUGUCCACAGAACUGGGUGGAGUCAUUAAGAUUUUUCUACCCCUCUCCCACUGCCACCCACAUGCUAGCGCUAGCUCCUUUGUGGACCUAAGGUGUGGGGCACAAGCAUUUCUGCAGAGCCUGGGAUCGUGAAUUGAGAAAUUGAGAUAACCCAUUUCUUCUCAGAGCCUGGGACCCACAUCAUCUCCCACCCCCACUGGCCAAUGCUUUUCACAUCAACAGUUGUGAAUCUUUCCCAUGUUUCUUCAGCGCUUUUUUCUAGCUUGAUGCUCAUGGAUGAUGAUGAUGACUUAUUAUGAUACCAAUUUCCAGAGGCCGUUAGCAGUUUUUUUCAACAGCCUUCAGAAAUGUAGGUACUUUAUAAAGAGUCUCAGAAGCCAGAAGAAGUAUUCCGAAGAACGAGGACAAUUGAUGCCUCCUUACCUUAUUGUAGUAGAUUUCUACCUAUCCAUAAGCAACUAAACAAUUUAUAGCUGUCUGGAUUUAAUUGUUUUUUCCCCAAGUCUUGGAAACCAGUAUUUCCAAUGGGUUCAUAAUAUUCUGUUAUGGAAAAAAGCAAAGAAAAUCAAGUUACAAAGUAAUGUUUAUGGAGUGAACUCAUUACCAUAAAUAAAGACAAUUUCUCUACAUAUGAACUUAUGCUGAUAUGGGCAUAGUGAAAAGAAUAGAAGGAUAUACACCAAACUAUUG